AAGGUAGCUCAGUGGUAGAGUGCUUGCCUUGCAUGCAUGAGACCCUGGGUUCGAUUCCUCAGCACCUUA
Molecule: transfer RNA, 69 nt
Filed under: Dipodomys ordii (Ord's kangaroo rat)
Lineage: Eukaryota; Metazoa; Chordata; Mammalia; Rodentia; Heteromyidae
Rfam family: tRNA
About the family: Transfer RNA (tRNA) molecules are approximately 80 nucleotides in length. Their secondary structure includes four short double-helical elements and three loops (D, anti-codon, and T loops).
Source: Rfam by way of RNAcentral